CCCUUAGAUGUCCUGGGCCGCACGCGCGCUACACUGAGUGUCUGAGAUACGAGUCUGCCUGGUCCGGCAAGGUCUAGGUAAUCGCUAAAAGACACAUCAUGCUUGGGAUAGAUUAUUGCAAAUAUUAAUCUUGAACGAGGAAUUCCUAGUAAGCGCAAGUCAACAGCUUGCGUUGAUUACGUCCCUGCCCUUUGUACACACCGCCCGUCGCUACUAUUGAUUGGAUGUUUAAGCGAGGUUCUCGAACUGCUAGCGACUUAGCUUCGGUGAGGUCGCAGUGUGGGAAGUGAACCUAGCUUUGGUGUCUAGAGGAAGUAAAAGUCGUAACA
This 329-nucleotide ribosomal RNA is filed under the name uncultured eukaryote. RNAcentral describes it as "partial 18S ribosomal RNA". It matches the Rfam family "Eukaryotic small subunit ribosomal RNA", at positions 1470 to 1796 of the family's 1831-position model. The record is from RNAcentral.